UUUUCUCCAUCGUCUCCUUCUCACAUCUUUUGCUCAUUCACUUUGCGGGAAAAAAGAAAAGCGAGGAUUCACUGGCUUCUUUAGAGCCCUUUCUAAGGACUAGUUCUUUCUUCAAUCACUCUCACACCACUCUAAAUCC
Molecule: non-coding RNA, 139 nt
Organism: Caenorhabditis elegans
Lineage: Eukaryota; Metazoa; Nematoda; Chromadorea; Rhabditida; Rhabditidae
Source: Ensembl